RNAcentral lists this ribosomal RNA (580 nucleotides) under uncultured Ascomycota. RNAcentral's name for it is "eukaryotic LSU rRNA". The stretch from base 217 to 370 matches the Rfam family "5.8S ribosomal RNA". The record is from RNAcentral. Lineage: Eukaryota; Fungi; Ascomycota.
CUUGGUCAUUUAGAGGAAGUAAAGGUCGUAACAAGGUCUCCGUUGGUGAACCAGCGGAGGGAUCAUUACCGAGUUUACAACUCCCAAACCCCUGUGAACAUACCUAUUGUUGCCUCGGCGGAUCAGCCCGGCCCCGGUAAAACGGGACGGCCCGCCAGAGGACCCCUAAACUCUGUUUUUAGUGUAACUUCUGAGUAAAACAAACAAAUAAAUCAAAACUUUCAACAACGGAUCUCUUGGUUCUGGCAUCGAUGAAGAACGCAGCAAAAUGCGAUAAGUAAUGUGAAUUGCAGAAUUCAGUGAAUCAUCGAAUCUUUGAACGCACAUUGCGCCCGCUAGUAUUCUGGCGGGCAUGCCUGUUCGAGCGUCAUUUCAACCAUCAAGCCCCCGGCUUGCGUUGGAGCCCUGCGGCUGCCGCAGGCUCCCAAAUACAGUGGCGGGCUCGUCGUCGUACCGAGUGCAGUAACAUCCUCGCUCAGGGAACGCGUCGGGUUCUUGCCGUGAAACACCCCCAUAUUAAGGUUGACCUCGGAUCAGGUAGGAAUACCCGCUGAACUUAAGCAUAUCAAUAAGCGGAGGA